RNAcentral lists this non-coding RNA (29 nucleotides) under Mus musculus (house mouse). The record is from RNAcentral. Lineage: Eukaryota; Metazoa; Chordata; Mammalia; Rodentia; Muridae.
UAGCCACUAUACCUCAAGAUCUCCAUGCC